This 361-nucleotide long non-coding RNA is filed under the name Equus caballus (horse). RNAcentral describes it as "lncRNA (ENSECAG00000058189.1)". The record is from RNAcentral. Lineage: Eukaryota; Metazoa; Chordata; Mammalia; Perissodactyla; Equidae.
GCAUGGGGACAGGACCCACGGGCAGUCAGAGUUUCUGCUGCUGCUGCCGCUGCCCCCGCUGGCAUGGGGACAGGGCCCAUGGGCAGGCAGAGCAGCUGCUGCUGCCCCCGCUGGCAUGGGGACAGGACCCAUGGGCAGGCAGAGCUGGAGCUCUGACUGCCUGUGGGCAGUCAGAGCUCCUGCUGCUGCCCCGAGUUGAGGGUUAGGGCUAAUUUUAUAAGGCAUGGGUAUGUGGGUCAUUUCUUUACAAGACAAAGGAAAGAACAUGAAAAAAAGUUAAAACGGUAUCAGUGCAGGUGGGGUCUGGUCAUUGGGUGAUCCCAUGACUUUUAGACAAGAAUCAAAUCGGAUUAAGUAAAGG